CAACACGGGUAAAGGUUCUCGCCGAUCAUCCAAAUAAACCACAUGCUCCUCCGCUUGUGCGGGCCCCCGUCAAUUCCUUUGAGUUUCACCCUUGCGGCCGUACUCCCCAGGUGGAAAACUUAACGCUUUAGCU
RNAcentral lists this ribosomal RNA (133 nucleotides) under Sphingobacterium sp. LeSa36b. RNAcentral's name for it is "partial 16S ribosomal RNA". Lineage: Bacteria; Pseudomonadati; Bacteroidota; Sphingobacteriia; Sphingobacteriales; Sphingobacteriaceae. The record is from RNAcentral.